Molecule: long non-coding RNA, 293 nt
Organism: Numida meleagris (helmeted guineafowl)
Lineage: Eukaryota; Metazoa; Chordata; Aves; Galliformes; Numididae
Exons: 3
Source: RefSeq, a predicted model, not a curated record
GAGUGAAACACAAAAAAAGGAAAAAUUGUUGCUAUGAAGCUACUGCUGUUAUGGAGACAGUUGUUAUGUUGCUGAUAGAAGUUCUUACAGUCAACAGUGGAGUCAGCACUCCCUUCUGUCCCACCCUUUGUGACUGUACUUCAUUUCUCCCACGGGGCCACUGCCUCCCUAACUCUGCCUGAGAUCUUGGUCUUUCUGCAGGGAAGGUGCUCCAUGCUCAGGUCAAGUUUGCUGCUCAGAGUACUGCUGGAGAAGAACAUCAGCUAGUACCACUGUAACUGCACAGAGGAAGA